Molecule: ribosomal RNA, 435 nt
Filed under: uncultured Acetivibrio sp.
Lineage: Bacteria; Bacillati; Bacillota; Clostridia; Acetivibrionales; Acetivibrionaceae
Description: bacterial SSU rRNA
Rfam family: Bacterial small subunit ribosomal RNA
Source: RNAcentral
ACGGAAGGCAGCAGUGGGGAAUAUUGCGCAAUGGGGGAAACCCUGACGCAGCAACGCCGCGUGAAGGAUGAAGGUUUUCGGAUUGUAAACUUCUUUGACUGGGGACGAAAUUUGACGGUACCCAGAAAACAAGUCACGGCUAACUACGUGCCAGCAGCCGCGGUAAUACGUAGGUGACAAGCGUUAUCCGGAUUUACUGGGUGUAAAGGGCGUGUAGGCGGGUUUGCAAGUCAGAUGUGAAAUCCCGGGGCUCAACUCCGGAACUGCAUCUGAAACUGUAGAUCUUGAGUAUCGGAGAGGAAAGUGGAAUUCCCAGUGUAGCGGUGAAAUGCGUAGAGAUUGGGAGGAACACCAGUGGCGAAGGCGGCUUGCUGGACGACAACUGACGCUGAGGCGCGAAAGCGUGGGGAGCAAACAGGAUUAGAUACCCUGGUA